Molecule: RNA transcript, 4311 nt
Organism: Pipistrellus kuhlii (Kuhl's pipistrelle)
Lineage: Eukaryota; Metazoa; Chordata; Mammalia; Chiroptera; Vespertilionidae
Exons: 4
Source: RefSeq, a predicted model, not a curated record
CACAAACACACACACACCCUUUUUCUAGCCUCUCAUAUAGAUAAUCCCCCCUGGUGCGUCCCUGGUAUCUUUUGAAUAGCUCUGGAGUUUCAAGAGAAAAAAUUCUUAUAAUGUAUUGCUUGCCAUUAGCAAAACACAUUUCAUGACCACCACAAAAAGGAGGGGAGGAGUGAGCAAAGGGGGCUUGAACCAAAAGACCUUUCUUUAAAAAAAAAAAAAAAAAAGUCUGCAAGUCAAAAGGUUAUUCUCCAAGUUUGUAAAUAAAAUACCAAAAGGAAGAAGGUAGCAAAGACCCACAAGUUUCACAAAAUGGUGCACUGGAAAAACAAGACAGGGCUAUUCUGGAGAGAGAGAGAGAGAGAGAGAGAGAGAGAGAGAGAGAGAGAGAGAGAGAGAGAGAGAGACUGACUAAAGGAAUCAAGAGAGAAAAACCGGAGGGGCGAAAAAAAAAAAAAGAAAAAGAGGGAGAAGAAAAUAAAAGGUAGAAAAGGCGAGAGAAGUUUCCAAAGAAAUGUGUGCUUUGCAUUCUACAAUAGGAAAAUGUAGCCAUUGCCCUCCUUCAGACGAGACAUUUCUAAUUUGUUCCGUCUGUCAGGAGGGGACUAUGAGAGGUUUGGGUGCAAAUUCAUUAUCUCUGGCGACGCAGGACGCAGUGUGGGGACUGAAAAAGACCGUGGCAAUGGAUGAACAAUGGGGCUUCAGUUCAUCAGUAACAAAAGCGGUGGGGAAAUUGGUUGGGUUUCAGAGCACGUCCUCCUCGGCAGAGGGGGCUGGACUAGACCUUGGACGGCCCCCCCAAAAACUUGCCGAGCCUCGCACACACCACUUCACUCUCCACUCAGAAGCUCAGGGAGCAAGUGCCUGGCCUUGGGGGAGGAGGGGGAGUUGGCUUUUUUUUUUCUUCUUCAUCUUUUGCGCCCUUCUCUCUCUUCCCCCCAGAAGGGAAGAUGUGGAAAAGAGCCUGUGUGUGGACUGCGGCCGCUCUGAGACUGGAUCUUGUCUUCUGGACUCCUGUCCAGCAGCAGGACUUGGGGGGCAGCACUGCCCGGCGGAGGGAGAGCAGAUGAUGCUACAAAGAAGUAUAAAGUGAAUAGACAUCCCACCAACCAAAGACCGGGGGCAGCAGCACACCAGCAAGACCGCAUCUUCUCUUCCCCAGCCUAGAAGCUGAAGCUCCUGUGAAAUUGAGGAUCUUCCCCCUCAAACACACACACACACACAAGAUAUUGCAAUCAAGCUGCCACCACUUGGUAAAAAGCUCAUGGUGCUUACCCCAAAAGGAUCAGGAGCAGAUCUUUGAAAUCAGCUGUCACUCCUAUAGAAUGGGAUGUGUUUUUUUUUGUGUUUUUUUUUUCUUCCUUCCUUCUUAACCUGCGCUGGAAAUUGCUGCUGGCUUCACACGUCUCUGUAGAGGGAGGCUGAGGAGUCUUUCGUGAGAACGAAGCAAUUUACAAUGCAAAUAGAGGCCUCGGAAGGGACGGAUGCUGCUGCUCACUCGUAUCCGCUUGCUGCACCUUAAUAGCUGGUUUUAUUUUCUGAUAUCCAUAGAUGAAUUGUUGACUGACGCUGCCGGAGAUUACUCGCUGAAAGGGAGAGAAAAAAAAAAGUUUGGAAUAAACUUUCACAGCCACAGAUCUCGUUCGGAUGUUUUAGCCGCACACACAAACAGAAACCAGGUCACAUUUACAUGCAAGGAGGAAUCUUGAGCGGCGAGUGCCCCGGAGGACGACAACUCUUCUGUGCUGCCAGAAAGAUCGGGAUCUGGAUUCUGGCCAGAGGAAGACAGAGGCGUGUGAGGGAAGCGAGUUGUUAUCUUUGGUUAUCUAGCUGUAUGAGUGUAUUGGUCUUCAUAAAGCUAGAUAACCGAAAGUAAAAACUCCUUCAAGAUCGCCGGGGAGCGUGGGAGAAUGAAAGACUACAGCCAAGAGACAGUAAAAACCAGAAAGGUCAGGAAUAUUUAUUGAAUCUAACUUUGUUUGCGGUUUUUUGUUUUCCUUCUGAGUAAAGGUGGGGUUUUAGAGGAAAUUAAGUGGCACACACAUGCAGAGAUAUGAAGGUGCCAGGUACUCUGAGGAGGGGUUGUUAAAAAGGAGAAUUGUAUAGUGCGAAUGAGGUAAGAGGCAUGUACAGUGUGUCCUACUUAAAGGCGAAAGUUUAAAUAUGAAUUAUUUUUUCUUUUCUUAGAUAGCUGCUGUAGAGGUGCCUGGUACCCAGUUAAAAAAACGAUGUCAUAUUAUAUAGACUUAGGCUGUUCUCUUGAAUUCCCUCCUCUGAAAAAUUUUAAGAUUAUGCUUGGAAACUACAUGUAUUUGGGGGUAUAUGUCAGAUGAUAUGAAAUUGGACUUUCAGAAAAGUUUAUACUGGAAGGUUCAUGAGUUAUGUCUACUGAGGACUUAGAGCUAGUAGGGAAAAUGCAAAAAAAAAAAAAAAAAAAAAAAAAAAAAAAAAAAAAAAAAAAAAAAAAAAGCCAAGGCUGAUUUUUAUUCUUCUAUUCAAAAUACAAGGACAGAUGCUUCUCUGUUCCAAGAGGGUUUCCUUGAGGAAGCUACUGAAGCAGAAAGACAUGAUGGAGACGAGAUCGCCUCCCCUCUUGUCAAAGUGUUAAAAAAUGUUCUGUCUUACUCUGCGCCUAGCAUUGGAAAUGAAAGUGACAUUUACGCCACAACCCACGUGUGCGCCUCCUCUCUUUUUGUUUAAGGAUGAUCAGGUCUAUCCAGGAAACAGCUCUGGCAUCCCAAACUGAAAUAAUUAGGACGUAUAUAGACCUGACAAAAAUGGAAAGGGGGUGGGGAAUCUGAGGGUCUGUCUUGCCUAAUUGAUUCGGCUAAACGGAAUGCAGGAGAUGUGAACGGCAGGACGCUCCGAUUCCCACGCUCGGGGGCAAGUGGUAAAGCGGGCCUGGCAGCCUAUGACAGACAGCCCUGUUGGGGGGGGGGGGGGAGGGGUAUAAAGAAAAAAAAAAAUCAAGUGCACACCAUACUCAUCUCCAUCGCUUAAAAAAGUAGAGGCAUUUCCCACCCACAGUCAUCUGCAGCCUCCCAAAUGGCAGCACCAACUGGCCUGUGGCUGCUGCAUACUGUCUGUUUCUGUUACUUUUAUAACCACUGUUCAAACUGGCCAUCAUGAAGUUUGCCUCCCUUCUUUGGCUGAGAUUUCCAAUAUUUAAGGAAAGCUUGUAGAAGGCAUUCCCAAGAAAGCUCCAUUGCUGCCUGCCCUUCAUGUCAGGUUCUCAGUCCAUACUUUUGGUCUUGGGACCCCCUCGGGGCUUUUGCUUUGGGCGAGUUGUAUUUGAAAAUAUAUCUCUCUGUAUAACAGACAUAACCAUCACUUGGUCAGAUUGUUUACUUCUUGCAUAAUAUAUCUAGAAACUUGGCUGAAUUAUGCUGGUAGACACCUUGGAAGUGAAACUAUAAAGUCACCAAGCUGUAGAAAGUUCAUCACUUGACAAUAUGAUAAAAGUUUGUUCUGGUAUAGUCUCAGCUAGAUACAUUCUAAACAGCCAUUUUUAUUUAAUCUAGACGUGACUAUGCUUAGCAGACACUUUGGUUCUCUGAAGGUCCCUAUGGUAAUAUUUUCAAAAAUGUCCUCAAUUUCCCCACAUGUCACCAAGCAAACAUUUGUAUAGAAAUGUACACAUCAAUACAAACAUUGCAGUAAGAAAAUGCCCACACUGGCCUGUUAUCUCCCACAUGGCCUACAUGACUGACAAUCCUAAAUCCCAGCUCUGCCAUAUUUCUUCAAAAGCAUUCCACUCGCCAUUGUAGCGUCAGCUCCCUUUAAGACUUCAAACUCCACUGAUUGUUUCCAUUAGAAACUCUGGGAGACUUGAGUAAGGUACAUUCUCCAUUUGGCUCUGGAACACGUGCCAAAGUUUUAUUACUGUGGUGACGGUUGAGAAGACCCUUGUUUAUUUACCUUUGAAGCACUGUUUGUGCAAACAACCUUUCAUUGUUAAGUGCCUGUAUUCCUUUCAUUUACUCCAUGUCCAGGGGUGCUAUUUACCUAGACCCAUUGUCUACUACAAUUAACAUUUACAUUACAAAGUGUGUGGUUUUCUUUCUCAAGGAGGUUCAAUUAAGGCAAUAAGAUGUUUGCUGGGGGAAACCUAUUGUUUACUGAAAGCACUCAAUGGAGUCAAAUUACUGACGCUUUUGCCUACAUCUCGGUCUUUCAUGUAAAUAUGUUAAAUAUAACAUUUAAGUAAAAUAAACAAUAUUAUGAUUCUGUGUUUGCCAUUGUCAUAUCAAACUUGCUUUGUAUCAUACUAAUGUUACAUGACUUAUCGAUCAAUAAAAAUGCAUUUCAAUGUUA